CCAGACCUGACUGCUAUCGGAUUGAUACUAAGCCAUGCGAGUCAUUGUAGUAAUACAAGGCAUACGGCUCAGUAACGCGUAGUCAACCUAACCUAUGGACGGGAAUAACCUCGGGAAACUGAGUAUAAUGCCCGAUAGAACAUUAUGCCUGGAAUGGUUUAUGUUCCAAAUGAUUUAUCGCCGUAGGAUGGGACUGCGGCCUAUCAGUUUGUUGGUGAGGUAAUGGCCCACCAAGACUAUUACAGGUACGGGCUCUGAGAGGAGUAGCCCGGAGAUGGGUACUGAGACACGGACCCAGGCCCUAUGGGGCGCAGCAGGCGAGAAAACUUUGCAAUGUGCGAAAGCACGACAAGGUUAAUCCGAGUGGUUUCUGCUAAAGGAACCUUUUGUUAGUCCUAGAAACACUAACGAAUAAGGGGUGGGCAAGUUCUGGUGUCAGCCGCCGCGGUAAAACCAGCACCUCAAGUGGUCAGGAUGAUUAUUGGGCCUAAAGCAUCCGUAGCCGGCUCUGUAAGUUUUCGGUUAAAUCUGUACGCUCAACGUACAGGCUGCCGGGAAUACUGCAGAGCUAGGGAGUGGGAGAGGUAGACGGUACUCGGGAGGAAGGGGUAAAAUCCUUUGAUCUCUCGAUGACCACCUGUGGCGAAGGCGGUCUACCAGAACACGUCCGACGGUGAGGGAUGAAAGCUGGGGGAGCAAACCGGAUUAGAUACCCGGGUAGUCCCAGCUGUAAACUAUGCAAACUCAGUGAUGCAUUGACUUGUGGUCAAUGCAGUGCUGCAGGGAAGCCGUUAAGUUUGCCGCCUGGGAAGUACGUACGCAAGUAUGAAACUUAAAGGAAUUGGCGGGGGAGCACCACAAGGGGUGAAGCCUGCGGUUCAAUUGGAUUCAACGCCGGG
This 899-nucleotide ribosomal RNA is filed under the name uncultured archaeon. RNAcentral describes it as "bacterial SSU rRNA". It matches the Rfam family "Archaeal small subunit ribosomal RNA", at positions 17 to 922 of the family's 1478-position model. The record is from RNAcentral.